GGGUUUUGGUUAGUACUUUGGUUAGCGAUUUUCAUAUUUAUGUGAUUAUGAUUAUGCCUCUGUAAAUAUUGUGGUACUUUUGAGACAGGUUCUCAUGUAGCCUAAGCUGGCCUCAAACUCAAUAUGUAGCCUAGGAUGACCUUGAACUCCUGAUCCUUCUGCCUCCAUCUCUUGAGUGUUGGGAUUACAGAGUGCCACCAUGUCAGGCUACUCAGCGUUUUUGUAAGGUCUUUGAGUCUGGGAACCAAAUUCACACAUCAGAUUAACAACAACCAAGUUUUGUAUUUUCAUAGGGAUUGUAGAUGCUGUAUGUGCUAACGGGAUCUUAGCCAUUUGCUUACCUUCUCCUGAACCUCUCUCUUCACUGACAAAGAGAAGGACGUGUAAAGAGAUGGCCGAAGGCAGCUGCUUUUAGACUUUUUGGACAGGGCUGUGUGACUUUUCCUGAGGAGACCUGAACAAAUGUCUGUUCACCACAGUGGGCCACCACCAGCAGAGAGGCUGUCCCCAGGAAAGGAAGGUGUUGCCGGAGGCAUCAGGACGGGACCGUGAGCCCCUCUGUUCUAAGCGCUGCUCCACAGCCCUCAGAAUGUAGUGAGAAACAUUUUGGCUCCUUCGCUUUGGAUCCUCUGUUAGUUUCUCCAGCGAGGUGGAUCGCACAGCUGUUGGCUUCCCCUGAGCCUGCUGUUAAUUUCUCGCUCCUGGCAGAUGGACCACGGGUCCCUUCCCCUCUCUGGCCCUCCACACUGGGGUCUCCGUCUUUCUGCCCACUCCAGGGUCUGCGCCUUUCGCCACUUUCAUCCAGGCAGUUUCCCUCCUGUGCUGGAUGCUUUAGUGUCAACUUGACACACCUCGGUAGAGGGAGCCUCAGCUGAGGAAUUGCCUCCAUCGGACUGGCCUGUGGCCAUGUCUGUGGGGCACCUUCUUGAUUGUUGAGUGAUGUGGGAGGGCCCAGCCCACUGUGGGUGGUGCCACCCCUGGGCAGGUGGGCCUGUGUUGUCUAAGAAAGGCUGAGCAGGGGCCAGGGGAGCAAGCCAGUAAGCAGCGUU
Molecule: long non-coding RNA, 1049 nt
Filed under: Nannospalax galili (Upper Galilee mountains blind mole rat)
Lineage: Eukaryota; Metazoa; Chordata; Mammalia; Rodentia; Spalacidae
Description: lncRNA (ENSNGAG00000024471.1)
Source: RNAcentral